AAGCGGAGGAAAAGAAACCAACAGGGAUUGCCUCAGUAGCGGCGAGUGAAGCGGCAAAAGCUCAAAUUUGAAAUCUGGUAGUUCUGCUACCCGAGUUGUAAUUUGUAGAAAACUGUCUUUGUUAGGGUGCCUGUCUAAGUUCCUUGGAACAGGACGUCGCAGAGGGUGAGAAUCCCGUGUGAUGGGUGGCCCGAGCUUUUAAGGCGUUUUCGAAGAGUCGAGUUGUUUGGGAAUGCAGCUCUAAGUGGGUGGUAAAUUCCAUCUAAAGCUAAAUAUUGGCGAGAGACCGAUAGCGAACAAGUACAGUGAUGGAAAGAUGAAAAGAACUUUGAAAAGAGAGUGAAACAGUACGUGAAAUUGUUGAAAGGGAAGGGUAUUUGAUCCGACAUGGGAUUUACUCAUCAUUGCUCCUUGUGGGUGGUGCUCUGGGUUUUUUCUGGGCCAGAAUCAGUUUGUGUGGCAGGAUAAAGGCGUGAGGAAGUAGCUCUUCUGGAGCAAUAUAACUCAUGUUAAUACUGCCUAUGCGGACUGAGGAAUGCGGUUUUUACCAAGGAUUCUGGCAUAACGAUUAAAUACCGCCCGUCUUG
This 587-nucleotide ribosomal RNA is filed under the name Kregervanrija fluxuum. RNAcentral describes it as "eukaryotic LSU rRNA". It matches the Rfam family "Eukaryotic large subunit ribosomal RNA", at positions 48 to 656 of the family's 3401-position model. The record is from RNAcentral. Lineage: Eukaryota; Fungi; Ascomycota; Pichiomycetes; Pichiales; Pichiaceae.